GUGAGAAUAGAUGCAGCUGCCUCCUUACUGUGAGAAUCAGUGACAAACAUGUGGGGCUUAUAUCUAAUCGGGUCAGAUGACAGGAGAACAGUAGUUCAAAUGCCAUUUGAAGGUAGGUGGCGGAGAUUAGUAUUAGUGCAGACGUUAAAAUCAUG
Molecule: non-coding RNA, 155 nt
Filed under: pig gut metagenome
Source: RNAcentral